This 497-nucleotide ribosomal RNA is filed under the name uncultured bacterium. RNAcentral's name for it is "partial 16S ribosomal RNA". It matches the Rfam family "Bacterial small subunit ribosomal RNA", at positions 28 to 507 of the family's 1533-position model. The record is from RNAcentral.
GAUGAACGCUGGCGGCGUGCCUAAUACAUGCAAGUCGAGCGAACAGACGAGGAGCUUGCUCCUCUGACGUUAGCGGCGGACGGGUGAGUAACACGUGGAUAACCUACCUAUAAGACUGGGAUAACUUCGGGAAACCGGAGCUAAUACCGGAUAAUAUAUUGAACCGCAUGGUUCAAUAGUGAAAGACGGUUUUGCUGUCACUUAUAGAUGGAUCCGCGCCGCAUUAGCUAGUUGGUAAGGUAACGGCUUACCAAGGCAACUAUGCGUAGCCGACCUGAGAGGGUGACCGCCAACAAUGGAACUGUGACACGGUCCAGACUCCUACGGGAGGCAGCAGAAGGGAAUCUUCCGCAAUGGGCGAAAGCUUGACGGAGCAAAGCCGAGCGAGUGAUGAAGGUCUUCGGAUCGGAAAACUCUGUUACUAGGGAAGAACAAAUGUGUAAGUAACUAUGCACGUCUUGACGGUACCUAAUCAGAAAGCCACGGCUAACUACGUG